Molecule: ribosomal RNA, 489 nt
Filed under: uncultured bacterium
Lineage: Bacteria
Description: bacterial SSU rRNA
Rfam family: Bacterial small subunit ribosomal RNA
Source: RNAcentral
GACGAACGCUGGCGGCGUGCCUAAUACAUGCAAGUAGAACGCUGAAGGAGGGAGCUUGCUUCCUUUGGGCGUCGACCGGCGCACGGGUGAGUAACGCGUAUCCAACCUUCCCGCAAGUAAGGGAUAACCCGUAGAAAUGCGGCCUAAUACCUUAUGUUUUCCUUAGAGGGCAUCUGAUGAGGAACAAAGAUUCGUCGCUUGCGGAUGGGGAUGCGUCUGAUUAGUUAGUCGGCGGGGUAACGGCCCACCGAGACGACGAUCAGUAGGGGUUCUGAGAGGAAAGUCCCCCACAUUGGAACUGAGACACGGUCCAAACUCCUACGGGAGGCAGCAGUGAGGAAUAUUGGUCAAUGGGCGAGAGCCUGAACCAGCCAAGUAGCGUGCAGGACGACGGCCCUAUGGGUUGUAAACUGCUUUUAUAUGGGGAUAAAGUGAGUUACGUGUAGCUUAUUGCAGGUACCAUAUGAAUAAGGACCGGCUAAUUCCGUG